RNAcentral lists this ribosomal RNA (1254 nucleotides) under Lycostomus sp. YXY-2021. RNAcentral describes it as "16S ribosomal RNA". The stretch from base 1028 to 1186 matches the Rfam family "Archaeal large subunit ribosomal RNA", at positions 2544 to 2703 of the family's 2987-position model. The record is from RNAcentral. Lineage: Eukaryota; Metazoa; Arthropoda; Insecta; Coleoptera; Lycidae.
UUGAAUUAGAUUAUUAAUUUUUUUUUCGAAAAAUUAUUUUUUUGUUUAUUAAUUAAAAAGAAAAACUUUGUUUAAUUAUAGUUUACUAUUAAUGUGAGUGAAAUUUGAAAUAUGGUUUAUAAUUUUAUAAGAAUUUUUAAUUUGAAGUACCUUUUGUAUCAGGGUUUAUUAAAUAAAAAUUGAGUAUUUAAUGUUUCUCGAUUUAGGAAGAUUUAAUUUAAUAUUAAUUUUCUUGUUUAAUUAAGAUUUAUAAUAUUAAAUUAGAAAUGAAACGUUAUUCGUUUCCUAAAAUAUCUAGUUUUUUAAGAAAAAAAUUUAAUUUUGUUAUUUUUUGGUUUAUAAUAUUUAUUUAUUUUAAACUAUAAAAUAUUUAAUAUGUGAGGGGAUAAGCUUUUACAUAAAUAUUUAAAAAUUUAUUGGUUUGGAUUAUUAGUAUAAUUAGUAUUGUUAAUCUUUAAUAUAAUUUAAUAAUUAUUAUUCUUUUAAUUAAAAUUUUUAUUGAUUUUAAGUUUUUUAUUGAAAUUAUUUUUAAAAUUUUUUAGAUUUUGUAAUAAUGAUAAAAUUAGUAAAUUUAUUUGUUUAUUUUUUAUAAAUGAAAGGUUAAUUAAAGGAACUCGGCAAAACUUAUUUUCUGCCUGUUUAUUAAAAACAUGUCCUUUUGAGAAUAAUUUAAGGUCUAAUCUGCUCAAUGAUAAUUUAAAUUGCCGCAGUAUUUUGACUGUGCAAAGGUAGCAUAAUAAUUAGCUUCUUAAUUAGAAGCUGGAAUGAAUGAUUGGACAAGAAAAUUACUGUCUCUAUUUAAUUGAUUAAUGAAUUUUAUUUUUAAGUUAAAAAGCUUAAAUUUUUAUAAAAGACGAGAAGACCCUAUAGAGUUUUAUAUUUUAAUUUUAUUUAAUUUUAGAAUUGGUUUUGAAAUUAGAGUAUUUAAUUGGGGUGAUUUAAAGACUUAAUAAAUUCUUUAAUUUUUUUAUUGAUGAUAAGCAAAUUUUAAAUCUAUAUUUUUAAAUUUAACAUGAAUUACCUUAGGGAUAACAGCGUAAUUUUUCUUUAAAGCUCUUAUUAAAAGAAGAUUUUGCGACCUCGAUGUUGGAUUAAAAUUAAUUUUUGGCGCAGUAACUAAAAAAUUAGGUCUGUUCGACCUUUAAAAUUUUACAUGAUCUGAGUUUAAACCGGUGUAAGCCAGGUUGGAUUCUAUCUUUAGAUUUUUUAUAUAUUUUAGUACGAAAGGACCAAAUAUGUAUUAUAUUAAUUGUU